This is a long non-coding RNA of Haliotis rubra (blacklip abalone), 176 nucleotides long. RefSeq lists it as uncharacterized. The record is from RefSeq and is a predicted model, not a curated record. Lineage: Eukaryota; Metazoa; Mollusca; Gastropoda; Lepetellida; Haliotidae. The transcript has 3 exons.
UUUAUGGGAGCAUACCAUGGUGACCAUGUUCGUUUCAUGAGUAAAUGAUUUACGUUAAUUAUAGAGAAUGUCUUUUUAACAAUUUGUAAGAGAAUUAAGGUUGCAAACAAACUAUUAUUUUUAAAUACGUUAUGCGAUUGGAAGGAUUACCAUUUUGGAGUUAACAUGCAAAAAAA